This 345-nucleotide unclassified non-coding RNA is filed under the name soil metagenome. RNAcentral describes it as "partial contains 5.8S ribosomal RNA, internal transcribed spacer 2, and large subunit ribosomal RNA". The stretch from base 1 to 120 matches the Rfam family "5.8S ribosomal RNA", at positions 35 to 154 of the family's 154-position model. The record is from RNAcentral.
GAUGAAGAACGUAGUGAAAUGCGAUACGUAAUGUGAAUUGCAGAAUUCAGUGAAUCGUCGAGUCUUUGAACGCACAUUGCGCCCCCUGGUAUUCCGGGGGGCAUGCCUGUCCGAGCGUCAUUGCUGCCCUCAAGCACGGCUUGUGUGUUGGGCCUCCGUCCUCCUCCCGGGGGACGGGCCCGAAAGGCAGCGGCGGCACCGCGUCCGGUCCUCGAGCGUAUGGGGCUUCGUCACCCGCUCUUGUAGGCCCGGCCGGCGCUUGCCGACACAUCAAUCUUUUUUCCAGGUUGACCUCGGAUCAGGUAGGGAUACCCGCUGAACUUAAGCAUAUCAAUAAGCGGAGGA